CCAACGGGUGAGUAACGCGUGGAUGACCUGCCCUUUAGUGGGGAACAACCAGGGGAAACUCUGGCUAAUACCCCAUAAGACCGAAAGGUGAAAGGGGGCCGCAAGGCUCUCGCUGAAGGAGGGGUCCGCGUCCGAUUAGCUAGUUGGUAGGGUAAUGGCCUACCAAGGCGACGAUCGGUAGCCGGCCUGAGAGGGUGAUCGGCCACACUGGAACUGAGACACGGUCCAGACUCCUACGGGAGGCAGCAGUAGGGAAUAUUGGUCAAUGGGUGAGAGCCUGAACCAGCCAUGCCGCGUGCAGGAAGACGGCCUUCUGGGUUGUAAACUGCUUUUGCCAGGGGCUAAAAAGUCCAUGCGUGGAAAAAUUGAAAGUACCUGGUGAAUAAGCCACGGCUAACUACGUGCCANCAGCCGCGGUAAUACGUAGGUGGCAAGCGUUGUCCGGAUUUAUUGGGUUUAAAGGGUGCGUAGGCGGCUCUGUAAGUCAGUGCUGAAAUAUCCCGGCUUAACUGGGAGGGUGGCCAUUGAUACUGUGGGGCUAGAGUACAGAUGAGGUAGGCGGAAUUGACGGUGUAGCGGUGAAGUGCUUAGAUAUCGUCAAGGACACCUAUAGCGAAGGCAGCUUACUAGGCUGUAACUGACGCUGAGGCACGAAAGUGUGGGGAUCAAACAGGAUUAGAUACCCUGGUAGUCCACACUGUAAACGUUGAUUACUCGCUGUGUGCGAUAUACAGUACGCGGCCAAGCGAAAGCGCUAAGUAAUCCACCUGGGGAGUACGCCGGCAACGGUGAAACUCAAAGGAAUUGACGGGGGCCCGCACAAGCGGUGGAGCAUGUGGUUUAAUUCGAAGCAACGCGAAGAACCUUACCAGCCCUUGACAUGGCAGGACGAUUUCCGGAGACGGAUCUCUUCACUUCGGUGACCUGCACACAGGUGCUGCAUGGCUGUCGUCAGCUCGUGUCGUGAGAUGUUGGGGUUAAGUCCCUUAACGAGCGAAACCCUUACCUUUAGUUACUACGGGUCAUGCCGAGGACUCUAAAGGGACUGCCGGUGUCAAACCGGAGGAAGGGGGGAUGACGUCAAGUCCUCAUGGCCUUUACG
RNAcentral lists this ribosomal RNA (1102 nucleotides) under uncultured Adhaeribacter sp. RNAcentral's name for it is "bacterial SSU rRNA". It matches the Rfam family "Bacterial small subunit ribosomal RNA", at positions 99 to 1206 of the family's 1533-position model. Lineage: Bacteria; Pseudomonadati; Bacteroidota; Cytophagia; Cytophagales; Hymenobacteraceae. The record is from RNAcentral.